UCGAGCGGCAGCGCGAGUAGUUUACUACUUGGCGGCGAGCGGCGGACGGCUGAGUAACGCGUGGGAACGUACCCCAAAGUGAGGAAUAACUGCCCGAAAGGGUGGCUAAUGCCGCAUAUGGUCUUCGGAUUAAAGGAUUUAUCCGCUUUGGGAACGGCCUGCGUACGAUUAGAUAGUUGGUGGGGUAAAGGCCUACCAAGUCUACGAUCGUUAACUGGUCUGAGAGGAUGAUCAGUCAGACUGGAACUGAGAUACGGUCCAGACUCCUACGGGAGGCAGCAGUGAGGAAUCUUCCACAAUGGACGAAAGUCUGAUGGAGCAACGCCGCGUGCAGGAUGAAGGCCUUCGGGUCGUAAACUGCUUUUAUAAGUGAAGAAUAUGACGGUAGCUUAUGAAUAAGCACCGGCUAACUACGUGCCAGCAGCCGCGGUCAUACGUAGGGUGCAAGCAUUAUCCGGAGUGACUGGGCGUAAAGAGUUGCGUAGGUGGUUUGUUAAGUGAAUUGUGAAAUCUGGUGGCUCAACCACACAGACUAUUAUUCAAACUGACAAACUCGAGAGUAGCAGAGGUAACUGGAAUUUCUAGUGUAGGAGUGAAAUCCGUAGAUAUUAGAAGGAACACCAAUGGCGUAGGCAGGUUACUGGGCUAUUUCUGACACUGAAGCACGAAAGCGUGGGGAGCGAACCGGAUUAGAUACCCGGGUAGUCCACGCCGUAAACGAUGGAUACUAGCUGUUGGAGGUAUCGACCCCUUCAGUAGCGAAGCUAACGCGUUAAGUAUCCCGCCUGUGGAAUACGGUCGCAAGACUAAAACAUAAAGGAAUUGACGGGGACCCGCACAAGCGGUGGAGCGUGUUCUUUAAUU
Molecule: ribosomal RNA, 864 nt
Filed under: uncultured bacterium
Lineage: Bacteria
Description: bacterial SSU rRNA
Rfam family: Bacterial small subunit ribosomal RNA
Source: RNAcentral